GUUUUUUUCUCGAUACCGGGUCACAGGGUAGGCUUCUCAGGUCUGAUUUCCCAGUUAUAGCAGCAUGAAUAGAUAUUGAUGUAGCCUAUUAUCUCGGCAAUAAUGCAUAUUACAACAAGCGAUUAUUUAUUAGUGGUGAAAUGUUUCUCCAGGGCUUCAUUUAGCACGCCUGAAAUGGAAUAACAAAAUCAACUCUGACUUGGUAGCCAUUAUCCAAACUCUAUCCCUUACAUCCCUGCUAGCUUCUAGUAAUCAUUAUUCUGUGUUUAGACUGAGGUUUUCUGUUUUGUUUUGUUUAGGGUUCCAGUAUAUGUGGGAGAACGUGGUUAUUUGUCUUUCUGUGUCUGGCUUAUUUCACAUAACACAAUGUCCUCCACUUCUAUCAAUUUUGCUGCGAAUGACAGGAUUUCAUUGCUUUUUAUGGUUGAAUCCAUUGUGAAUACAUAGCACAUUUUCUUCACACAUGCAUCGGAUGGUAGACCCUGGGUUGAUUCCAUACCUUGACUAUUGUGAACAGUGCUACAGUUAAAAUGGUGGAGCAGGCAUCUCCUUGAUACAGUUAUUUCAUAGCUCUUGGAUAUAUACCCAAUAAUAAUUGAAUUGCUGAAUCAUAUGGCAGUUCUAUUUUUAGUUUUUGAAGCCUUCUCCAUUCUGUUUUCCAUAGUAGCUGUAUUAAUUGAUAGUCCCACCAACAGUUCAUAAGAGUUUCCCUCUCUCCACAUCUUUGCAAUCAUUUGUUACUUUCUUUUUUGUUACAGCCAUACUAAAUUCAACAAGGUGAUAUCUCAAUGCAGUUUUUAUUUGCAUUUUCCCACUAUAUAGUGAUAUUGAGAAUUUUUUAACAUAUCUGUUGCUCAUCUGUAUUUCUUCUUCUGAGAACUGACUAUGGGUCCUUUGCCCAUUUCUUAACUGGAUUGGUUGUUUUUGUUUUUGUUGUUGAGUUUUUUGAGUUCCUGAUAGAUCCUGUGUAUCAAUCCUUUGUUGUAUAGGUAGGUCGCAAAUAUUCUCCCUCAUUCUAUCAGCUGCCUGUUCACUCUGAUGAUUGCUUCCUUUGCUAUGCAGAAGCUUCUGAGUUUGAUAAAAUCUCGUUUGUGUCGUUUUGCUUUUGUUGCCUAUGCUUUUGGGUCUUAUUUUGUAAAAAGUCAUUUCCUACAUAUGCCUUGAAAUGUUUCCCCUAUGCUUUCUUCUGGUAACCUCAUAGUUUCAGAUCUUACAUUUUAGGUGCUUGAUCCGUCUUGAAUUGAUUUUUGAAUGUGGUGAGAGAUGGAUCUAAUUUCAUUCUACUACAUACAUAUAUAUACAUAUAUAAUAUAUAUCCAGUUUCAUAUAUUAUAUAGUAUACAUUAUUAUAUGAUAUAUAAUAUAU
RNAcentral lists this long non-coding RNA (1366 nucleotides) under Oryctolagus cuniculus (rabbit). Its description in RNAcentral is "lncRNA (ENSOCUG00000032662.1)". Lineage: Eukaryota; Metazoa; Chordata; Mammalia; Lagomorpha; Leporidae. The record is from RNAcentral.